This 289-nucleotide long non-coding RNA is filed under the name Brassica rapa (field mustard). RNAcentral's name for it is "long non-coding RNA (BRAP_LNC000786)". The record is from RNAcentral. Lineage: Eukaryota; Viridiplantae; Streptophyta; Magnoliopsida; Brassicales; Brassicaceae.
CCGACGAGGACCACCACAUCAACAAGCAUAACUUCCGGAUCCCUUUCGUCUGCGGCUGCCGGAACCUCGGGGAGGCUCUGAGGAGGAUCCGCGAAGGUGCGGCGAUGAUCAGGACGAAAGGCGAGGCUGGGACUGGGAACAUCGUGGAGGCGGUGAGGCAUGUGAGGUCUGUUAUGGGUGACAUCAGGGUUUUAAGGAACAUGGAUGACGACGAGGUCUUCACUUUCGCCAAGAAGCUAGCUGCUCCUUACGAUCUCGUGAUGCAGACCAAACAGCUCGGCCGUCUUCC